Molecule: ribosomal RNA, 253 nt
Filed under: uncultured bacterium
Lineage: Bacteria
Description: partial 16S ribosomal RNA
Rfam family: Bacterial small subunit ribosomal RNA
Source: RNAcentral
UACGGAGGGGGCUAGCGUUGUUCGGAAUUACUGGGCGUAAAGCGCGCGUAGGCGGAUCUGCAAGUCGGGGGUGAAAUCCCGAGGCUCAACCUCGGAACUGCCUUCGAUACUGCGGGUCUCGAGUCCGGGAGAGGUGAGUGGAAUUCCUAGUGUAGCGGUGAAAUGCGCAGAUAUCAGGAGGAACACCGAUGGCGAAGGCAGGUCUCUGGGCCGAUACUGACGCUGAGGAGCGAAAGCGUGGGGAGCGAACAGG